GACCACUCCGGUGGCCUAGUGGUUAGAGCGUCCGUCUCAAAUGCGGGAGGUCGCAGGUUCGAACCCCGGCCGAGUCA
Molecule: non-coding RNA, 77 nt
Organism: Potamilus streckersoni
Lineage: Eukaryota; Metazoa; Mollusca; Bivalvia; Unionida; Unionidae
Source: the annotation of a GenBank genome assembly